AUGGAUUUGAGGGUGCCUCAUAUGCUUCAUCUUUUUAAUGUCUUUCAUGAAAAUAAGGAUUCCGAUAACCUCCAAGAGCAUAAAUGCAUUAAAAUGUUUGGCACUAAAUAUUUGAAUGAUGAGCAUGAUUGCAAUAUUGUUAGUAUGAAUUCUUUGAAUAUCCAUGAUGCUAAUGAUAUGCAAAGCCACAAGCUUGGGGAUGCUAUGUUUGAUGAAUAUGAUAUUUUUAGCCCCCCAAGUUUUGAUGAGCAUAUUUAUUAUGAUGAUAGCAUGCCUCCUAUUUAUGAUGAUUAUAUUGAUGAAAGUGGGUUUGGAAGAGUGUCAACUUUAGAAAGUAAUGAUCCCACUAUUUUGGAGGGUGUUGAAUCUUAUAAUAUUUAUGAAAGUGGAUUUGGAGAGGUCAUGACUUUAUUUAGUGAUGAAUCCACUAUUUCAGAAGAGGUUCCAAUUGAUUAUGAGAACAAAAUUGCUAAUCCCCCCGUCUAG
This 486-nucleotide ribosomal RNA is filed under the name Triticum aestivum (bread wheat). RNAcentral describes it as "partial small subunit ribosomal RNA". Lineage: Eukaryota; Viridiplantae; Streptophyta; Magnoliopsida; Poales; Poaceae. The record is from RNAcentral.